UAAAAAUUCCGCCCGCGCUCAGUUGUUAAUCUUAUCCAGAGAAGGUGGAAGGGGGGACAGCUUCGGCUGGGCUCUCGUCGGCGAGCUCGUCGGCCGUCCGGCUCUCCCCUCCACCUCCGACCCUCUCGGCCUCUCCUCCGCCUCCGGCGUCCCCGCCCCUCCCCCUGUAGGUGAGCUGGAGGAGGACCAUAGGUCAGGGAGUGUUUGGUUUCAGAGAGAUCGUUGGGGAGGAGUUCAUGACCAUGUUCCUGUCAGUUUUUAGCAGUAUGGUUCAGAGACUGGUUCCUAGGUAGGGGUUGAAGCUUGGGAAAGAAGACUAGAAGAGUCGGGUGAAUAUUGCAAAUCCCUCGACCAUUUUGAAGAAUGCAUGCUCCCGGGCCAUAGAAGAAAUCAGCAGGUGGACAUAGUUGAGGGCCUGAGGCAGCAAUAGUUCUUCGAAGGCACUGGGCAAUAAUUGAUUGGUCGAAGGUAGCGUUUUUUGUCGAGCUUCAAUUGACAGGGAAGAAACUGUUUCUAUAUGUGCCUUUGGUUUUCUUUCUCUUAUGGAGUUCGUACAGUUCUUUUUUCAGGGCAAGAGAUUCUUUAGCUAGAUAAGAAAGAGCACUCUGAUUAAUUAGAUCAGAAGUUGUUUUUUCCAUCGAGCUUCAGUUGACAGGGAAGAAAUUGUUUCUGUCUAUGCCUUUGGUUUUCUUUAACUUAGGGAGUUUGUAUAGUUUUUUUAGGGGAAGAGAUUCUUCAGCUAGAUGAGAAAGAGCACUCUGAUUAAUUAGAUCAGAAGUUGUGUGUGAUGAUAAUCGCUCGUGCAGACUACAAUACCACCAACCACCAGGUGAGGUCGUCAGUGAGGCGCCGUUAGUAGACAUGAGUAAAGCUUCUUGACCUAUACGUUUCAUGGUUUGGCAUAUUUGCUUCAUCGGAGUGCUUCAUGUACUUAUUCUGAUGAUUGAGAUCCUUAAUUUGCAUUGGUUUAUUUUUGCCGCAUCUCCUGCAAUACAUUAGUGAAAAGCUUAGCAGUGCUGAUUUCUAAACUUGAAGUUAUGGCUUGUUUAACCUCAUAAUAAUUUAGUUUUGGAGAGUGCAGAAAUCAUUUUGAGGAAACAGUGAACAAAAAAGUUGGGCAUCCUGGGUAAUCAGCUGGGAGAAGCCCAGAAAUUCUAACAGGAGUGGUGACAGUAGCAGCAACAUGCCUGAUACAAGGCCCCAGAAUAGUGAUUGGAGCAUUAAAGCCAUGGAUACACUCUUAUGUCAUAUAUACUUUUUAGUGUUCUUGAAAGUGCUUUGUUGGUUGUACAAGGAAUCGAUCUAACAACGUCAUUUCAUGAAGGAAGGGGUUGUACUUUCCUUACAGAGCAUAGCUCAUUAUGCAAGGCGUUCAUUAUUGCAACAUCUUGUCCAGGGCUAGCUCAUUCAUUAGGGGUUGCUCAGCUAUGCUUUUUUUUUCCUUUUUCUUUUUUAUUUCCUUAUUGGAUUAUAUGCUACUCGGUGUUGAAGGGUUUGUUCAUGCCAAAUUUAAGAAAUCUUGUGAUGUUACCAGAGAUUGCCCAUUUACUCAUUCGGCAUGGGAUGGUCAGGGUUUGUUUAUUUUUAUCAGCGGACUUCCGUUCAGA
Molecule: non-coding RNA, 1607 nt
Organism: Aegilops tauschii subsp. strangulata
Lineage: Eukaryota; Viridiplantae; Streptophyta; Magnoliopsida; Poales; Poaceae
Source: RefSeq, a predicted model, not a curated record